ACCCUUCGCCGCUACUUGUUCUGCGAGAGGAACCGUUUUGUUAAACCAUCACCGAGAGGCAUCACGACCUUGUUUCUUGGAUAAAGCUCCCCCCCCCACACCUUCUCAUCGGGUUCGCGCAGCUCGAGCUUUAGGGUUCCGUCUCCAUUCGUGGGCGUUAGUCGGUGUCUCGAUGGCGGCCUUGCAGCCAUAUGGAUGCGGCGUGGUAGGAGCGAGGGGGAUGCCCUUGUUUGAGGGUCUCCGCCUCGCCCCAUCCAUCGCUCCUCUUGCUUCUUCGGUUGGAAUCCCCAUGGUGGGGCUCAACCGGAGGGGCUUCCCUGGCCUCGUUGUCAAGGCUGCGACGGUUGUUGCUCCGAAGUACACAUCCAUCAAACCUUUGGGUGAUAGAGUGCUAGUUAAGAUUAAAUCCUUGGAGGAGAAAACCAGUGGUGGAAUACUGCUUCCAACAACUGCCCAGUCAAAACCUCAAGGGGGUGAAGUUGUUGCUGUUGGGGAAGGUAGAACAAUUGGACCAAAGCAAAUAGAUAUCAGUGUUCAGGCUGGUAAACAGGUGGUCUAUAUGAAGUAUGCAGGAACAGAGCUUGAAUUUAAUGGAUCUAAUCAUGUUUUGUUGAAGGAAAAUGAUAUACUGGGUAUUCUUGAAACUGAUGAUAUUAAGGACCUCAAGCCGCUUAAUGACCGAGUUCUAAUUAAGGUUGCGGAAGCUGAAGAGAAGACUGCUGGUGGAUUACUGUUGACUGAAGCUGCAAAGGAAAAGCCCUCGGUGGGGACGGUGAUCGAUGUCGGCCCCGGCCCAUUGGACGAGGUAGGCAAUAGAAAACCAUUGAAGAUCAGCCCUGGGAGUACCAUUUUGUAUUCUAAGUAUGCUGGGAGUGAGUUCAAGAGUGCUGAUGGUGCUGAUUACAUUGUUUUGAGAGCAUCUGAUGUGAUUGCUGUCCUCCCUUCGUAUUGAAGUCCUGCCAAUUAAACAUGGUCACCAACAAGACAAGACUGGAGUUUAUCAAGGUUGUUUGUUCAAGUCUGUCAAGUUAGCAGCACAAACUCCUAACAUAAAAGGUUAAUAUUGCUUUGGAUUUUCCACUGACACCUACACAGUUCAUAUGGGCUCUAUUUAAGAAUUGCAGUUGCAGUUUCAGUUUUGAUGUGCUUUGUUUGACCAACCAAGAACAGCAAUUAAAUGAAAGAGAGUUGGUCACAGAGGAAGUAGAGAAACGUUAACAGGUUUCUGCAAUAAAUACAUGCAGAAUACAACAGGUUUUAUAGGUCAACAUUGCACAACAUUUAUCACCAGAAACACAUGAUUAGCAUCAGACAAGUUUUUAGUGACUGGCAUUUCUUUCUCCUGUGUGGGAGCUGAUUAUUUUGAGUACCAUAAAACUAUCGACUUAUAGAUACAAUUUGCAUAGCAUGAAUGGCUCAAGUUUUUUGGGUUACAUCUGGUGCUAGAAACUUGUGAAGUCCUCUCUCAGAUGGCUUUCAGAUCAUGACCAGACCAGCAGUCAAGAAGAGAAAAAAGAUAAGCUUUGCUUUGAAUAUCCUUUUUGCUCUUUCUUACCGAUUUGUCUCGUCCUUGCAAGUGAAAUAAAUAGCAUUGGACUUUUCCCCCUAA
RNA transcript from Musa acuminata AAA Group (dessert banana), 1609 nucleotides. It is a transcript of the gene named 20 kDa chaperonin, chloroplastic-like, with no coding region annotated. The record is from RefSeq and is a predicted model, not a curated record. The transcript has 7 exons. Lineage: Eukaryota; Viridiplantae; Streptophyta; Magnoliopsida; Zingiberales; Musaceae.